This 808-nucleotide ribosomal RNA is filed under the name uncultured bacterium. Its description in RNAcentral is "bacterial SSU rRNA". It matches the Rfam family "Bacterial small subunit ribosomal RNA", at positions 48 to 856 of the family's 1533-position model. The record is from RNAcentral.
CUUACACAUGCAGUCGAACGGUAACAGGUCUUCGGACGCUGACGAGUGGCGAACGGGUGAGUAAUACAUCGGAACGUGCCCAGUCGUGGGGGAUAACUACUCGAAAGAGUAGCUAAUACCGCAUACGAUCUAAGGAUGAAAGCGGGGGACCUUCGGGCCUCGCGCGAUUGGAGCGGCCGAUGGCAGAUUAGGUAGUUGGUGGGAUAAAAGCUUACCAAGCCGACGAUCUGUAGCUGGUCUGAGAGGACGACCAGCCACACUGGGACUGAGACACAGCCCAGACUCCUACGGGAGGCAGCAGUGGGGAAUUUUGGACAAUGGGCGAAAGCCUGAUCCAGCAAUGCCGCGUGCAGGAUGAAGGCCUUCGGGUUGUAAACUGCUUUUGUACGGAACGAAAAAGCUUCUCCUAAUACGAGAGGCCCAUGACGGUACCGUAAGAAUAAGCACCGGCUAACUACGUGCCAGCAGCCGCGGUAAUACGUAGGGUGCGAGCGUUAAUCGGAAUUACUGGGCGUAAAGCGUGCGCAGGCGGUUAUGUAAGACAGAUGUGAAAUCCCCGGGCUCAACCUGGGAACUGCAUUUGUGACUGCGUGGCUAGAGUACGGUAGAGGGGGAUGGAAUUCCGCGUGUAGCAGUGAAAUGCGUAGAUAUGCGGAGGAACACCGAUGGCGAAAGCAAUCCCCUGGACCUGUACUGACGCUCAUGCACGAAAGCGUGGGGAGCAAACAGGAUUAGAUACCCUGGUAGUCCACGCCCUAAACGAUGUCAACUGGUGUUGGGAAUUAGUUUUCUCAGUAACGAAGCUACG